UUGAGUACUAAUGACACCACCACUGAUUGUUUUGACAGUCAAAAAACAGUCAAUCAAAUUACAAUAACGUUGAUGGUUCUAAUAUACAACAACAAAUUCACACACUAGCCUAGUGACACCACUGAAUGUUUUGACAGCCAUUCAAGUUACGAUAGUGAUGUUAUCACAGCACACAACGUAGUGGGUUCUGCUCCGAAAGACAUACAGCAAGAAAUUCACACACCGCCACCAUUAUUGAACCUUAAGCUACCAAGUAGCAAGUGGAUUAGGCAGGAUCAAAAUCUCUGCAAUGUGAGCAAUAUGCAUUCCAAAGAAUCGUUGGCUAUAACAUUGUGUUUAGUUGUUAACAAGGUGAACACUACACUGAUGAAUGUGACGUCCUAAAAGCAAUUCCAAACAUAUUGAAGAACUUGUAUACAAGUGCUCCGUAUGCCCCGGUAAUCCAGACUACAAAUUUGUUGACAUGGUUGAAUCCAAAAAAGGAAAGCUGUUUUCAAAAAGUGGUAUUGAUGUUGUGGAUAGUUUUGAGCCAGUUAUUCUCGAUGGUACUACGUACCCAAAAACUGUACGAAACUCGAGGUGUCAAAGGAUUCCUUAAGAGGAAUAUUUCAUCGCUGGUCCAAACGAAAAUUAAAGUCUCCGAUCCGCAAGUUGUCAAAAAGUAGAGUAAAUAUUCGCUACUUGAGUACACCUGAAAAGUUUGCAAGAUUUGAGAGGUCGGUACCAUGCACAGUCAAAAGGAGUUGAGUGCCUCAGAGAAAAAAUUGUACAAAUGACUAAAAAGAACCACGUUGUACUAGAUUCAAGUUUGAGCUCGGAUAUUGUUCAGUUAAUGGACGGAAUGACAAAAAGUGUCCAUCAAGAAUGCCCAGAAGGCUCUUUUAAACGAGUCUUUUGGGACCAACAAUUAAAGUCAGUUAGAGUAACGGAUUCAAGGCAAGUUCGAUGGCACCCUGCGAUUAUAAAAUGGUGUUUACAUCAUUUCAUCUGCUUGUUACCAUGCCCUACGUGGCUCUGGUCUGAUAUCUUUGCCCUCAGAAAGGACAUUGCGAGAUUAUACCAAUUGGAUACGUCCUGGGAUAGGAUUUGUGCCUGAAGUUGAUGCUCAGUUAAUAAAAGAAGCACGUGUGUCUGAGGAAAAAGACAAAUUUGUAGUUCUUGUAUGGGAUGAAAUGAAGAUAUGUCAAGAUUUAGUUUUUAAUAAGCAUAGCUGCGAGUUGAUGGGGUUUUUGAAUAUUGGUGAUGUGAAUGCUCAACUGGACAAAGCUAGUGAAGAUUUAAACUCAAAUAGUAGCACACGUGUGAGGAAUGUUCUCAAACCUCGAGUUUCCCUAUGCCCACUUUGCUACAAGAGGAAUCACCGCAGAUGCACUGUUUCCAUUGGUUUAUAGACAUUUGGAGUGCUGUGGAUUAAAUGUUAUAGCUUUCUGCUCUGAUGGUGCCUCUCCUAACAGAAAAUUUUAUAAGAUGCACGAUAGAGGGAAUGGUGUUGUGAACAAGACUACGAAUCCUUUUCAACCUGAGCGAGAGAUAUAUUUUAUAAGUGAUGUACCCCAUCUGAUAAAAACCACAAGGAAUUGUUGGUCCAAUUCUUUUGGUCCAAUUCUUUUGCGAACAAGAAUUCUAGAGCCCUUUGGAUUAAUGGCAAGCACAUCAGCUGGGGCCACCUCAAACACUUGUAUGAGCGUACUAAGACUCAGUCGGGACUCCACCUUUACUUCAUAUUCAAGGAUGAAAGUGAACCUGGCAGCUCAGGUUCUAAGCGCAUCAGUUGCCAAUGCCUUCAACUAUUAUGGUGAUAGCGAGAUGGGAGAAACAACAAACUUCGUCCGUUUAUUUGAUCGUCUUUUUGACUGUUUCAAUGUGCGAAGUUUCAAGGAGAGUGUUGUAAAAAGAAAAGAAAACCAGAUUUAAGACCAUACCGAGACCCCUCCGACAAUAGACUGUCCUGGUUGAAAGAUACUUUUCUCAAGUAUCUGCAAGAUUGGCAGUACUCUGUCAAAUGCAGAAGUGGUUUUACUGAGCGAAAAUGCUUCUCUCUAUCCAGACAAUAGAAGGGUUUAAAAUAACAGGUAAAUAAUGCAG
Molecule: long non-coding RNA, 2085 nt
Organism: Halichondria panicea
Lineage: Eukaryota; Metazoa; Porifera; Demospongiae; Suberitida; Halichondriidae
Exons: 4
Source: RefSeq, a predicted model, not a curated record